Stegodyphus mimosarum is the source of this 47-nucleotide non-coding RNA. Lineage: Eukaryota; Metazoa; Arthropoda; Arachnida; Araneae; Eresidae. The record is from Rfam.
GAAACGGCCCUUUUCAGGGCCAAGUAAUUUCUCGUCGGAAAUUCAGU